Oryctolagus cuniculus (rabbit) is the source of this 381-nucleotide non-coding RNA. Lineage: Eukaryota; Metazoa; Chordata; Mammalia; Lagomorpha; Leporidae. The record is from RefSeq and is a predicted model, not a curated record.
GGGGCAGCGACCCAGGUGCCCAGCACUGGGCGAGACAGGACGCCCUGCAGGCGGCAGCGACCCAGGUGCCCAGCACUGGGCGAGACAGGACGCCCUGCAGGCGGCAGCGACCCAGGUGCCCAGCACUGGGCGAGACAGGACGCCCUGCAGACGGCAGCGACCCAGGUGCCCAGCACUGGGCGAGACAGGACGCCCUGCAGACGGCAGCGACCCCAGGUGCGUCAGGAGCAUGGCCACUAGGAGUGACGGGGCCCCACAGCAGCCCCAGAGGCCCGGUGUGCAGAGACCACUCUUGGCUCUCCUCUCAAUGUGCUGGCUGAACACUGACCAUGUGCCAUGGGGAGGCCACAGGUGACCACGCACACCGGCCCAGGGCUCAGG